CCUACGGGGGGCAGCAGUGGGGAAUAUUGCGCAAUGGGCGAAAGCCUGACGCAGCGACGCCGCGUGAGGGAUGAAGGUCUUCGGAUCGUAAACCUCUGUCAGCAGGGAAGAACGGUCACUGUGCUAAUCAGCCGUGAAUUGACGGUACCUGCAAAGGAAGCACCGGCUAACUCCGUGCCAGCAGCCGCGGUAAUACGGAGGGUGCGAGCGUUAACCGGAAUUACUGGGCGUAAGGCGCUCGUAGGCGGUAUGUCAAGUCAAGGGUGAAAUCCCCGCGCUCAACGUGGGAACUGCCUUUGAAACUGGCAAACUGGAGUGUGUGAGAGGAUAGUGGAAGUCCAGGUGUAGGAGUGAAAUCCGUAGAUAUCUGGAGGAACAUCAGUGGCGAAGGCGACUAUCUGGCACAUAACUGACGCUGAGGAGCGAAAGCGUGGGUAGCAAACAGGAUUAGAUACCCCUGUAGUC
RNAcentral lists this ribosomal RNA (465 nucleotides) under uncultured bacterium. RNAcentral's name for it is "partial 16S ribosomal RNA". It matches the Rfam family "Bacterial small subunit ribosomal RNA", at positions 338 to 795 of the family's 1533-position model. The record is from RNAcentral.